Molecule: transfer RNA, 70 nt
Filed under: Megaloceros sp. Ari9
Lineage: Eukaryota; Metazoa; Chordata; Mammalia; Artiodactyla; Cervidae
Description: tRNA-Leu
Source: RNAcentral
ACUUUUAGAGGAUGGCAGGAAUCCGUUGGUCUUAGGAACCAAAAAAUUGGUGCAACUCCAAAUAAAAAUA